UGAUUGCCAUGACAACUGUAACCAAGU
Molecule: non-coding RNA, 27 nt
Filed under: Rattus norvegicus (Norway rat)
Lineage: Eukaryota; Metazoa; Chordata; Mammalia; Rodentia; Muridae
Source: RNAcentral